GGCCUACCAUGGUGGUAACGGGUGACGGGGGGUUAGGGUUCGAUUCCGGAGAGGGAGCCUGAGAAACGGCUACCACAUCCAAGGAAGGCAGCAGGCGCGCAAAUUACCCAAUCCCGACACGGGGAGGUAGUGACAAUAAAUAACAAUACCGGGUUCUUUCGGACUUCGUAAUUGGAAUGAGUACAAUUUAAAUCUCUUAACGAGGAACAAUUGGAGGGCAAGUCGGGGGCCAGCACCCGCGGUAAUUCCAGCUCCAAUAGCGUAUAUUAAAGUUGUUGCAGUUAAAAAGCUCGAAUUUGAAUUUCGGGGUUAGUAGGUUGGUCAUGCCUCGGGCGAGUACUGGUCUCACUGAUUCCUCCUUCCUGAUGAGCCGUAAUGCCAUUAAUUUGGGGGUGCGAGGAAUCUGGACUGUUACUCUGAAAAAAUUAAAAGGGUUAAAGCAGGCUUCCUCUUGAUUACUUUAUUAUGGAAUAAUGAAGUAGGACGUUCGAUCCUAUUUUGUGGGUUUCUAGGAUUGACGUAUUGAUAAUUAGGGAUAGUUGGGGGGCAUUAGUAUUCAAUUGUGAAAGGUGAAAUUCUUGGAUUUAUUGAGAACUAACUACUGCGAAAAGCAUUUGCCAAGGAUGUGUUUCAUUAAUCAAGAAAAAAGUUAGGGGAUAUCAAACACAUCAGAUACCGUCCUAAUCUCUAACCAUAAACUAUGCCCACUAGGGAUCGGAUGAUGUUAAUUUUUUAAUGACUCAUUCGGCGCCUUAC
RNAcentral lists this ribosomal RNA (756 nucleotides) under uncultured Glomeromycotina. Its description in RNAcentral is "bacterial SSU rRNA". It matches the Rfam family "Eukaryotic small subunit ribosomal RNA", at positions 338 to 1091 of the family's 1831-position model. Lineage: Eukaryota; Fungi; Glomeromycota. The record is from RNAcentral.